RNAcentral lists this ribosomal RNA (465 nucleotides) under uncultured bacterium. RNAcentral's name for it is "partial 16S ribosomal RNA". It matches the Rfam family "Bacterial small subunit ribosomal RNA", at positions 28 to 507 of the family's 1533-position model. The record is from RNAcentral.
GACGAACGCUGGCGGCGUGCUUAACACAUGCAAGUCGAACGGAAAGGCCCUGCUUGCAGGGUACUCGAGUGGCGAACGGGUGAGUAACACGUGGGUGAUCUGCCCUGCACUUCGGGAUAAGCCUGGGAAACUGGGUCUAAUACCGGAUAGGAGCCAUUCUUAGUGUGAUGGUUGGAAAGUUUUUUCGGUGUAGGAUGAGCUCGCGGCCUAUCAGCUUGUUGGUGGGGUAAUGGCCUACCAAGGCGGCGACGGGUAGCCGGCCUGAGAGGGUGGACGGCCACAUUGGGACUGGGGUACGGCCCAGACUCCUACGGGAGGCAGCAGUGGGGAAUAUUGCACAAUGGGCGCAAGCCUGAUGCAGCGACGCCGCGUGGGGGAUGACGGCCUUCGGGUUGUAAACUCCUUUCGCUAGGGACGAAGCUUUUUGUGACGGUACCUAGAUAAGAAGCACCGGCUAACUACGUG